GAUGAAGAACGUAGCGAAAUGCGAUAAGUAGUGUGAAUUGCAGAAUUCAGUGAAUCAUCGAAUCUUUGAACGCACAUUGCGCCCUUUGGUAUUCCAAAGGGCAUGCCUGUUCGAGCGUCAUUUGUACCCUCAAGCUUUGCUUGGUGUUGGGCGUCUUGUCUCUAGCUUUGCUGGAGACUCGCCUUAAAGUAAUUGGCAGCCGGCCUACUGGUUUCGGAGCGCAGCACAAGUCGCACUCUCUAUCAGCAAAGGUCUAGCAUCCAUUAAGCCUUUUUUUCAACUUUUGACCUCGGAUCAGGUAUGGAUACCCGCUGAACUUAAGCAUAUCAAUAAGCGGAGGA
This 341-nucleotide unclassified non-coding RNA is filed under the name soil metagenome. Its description in RNAcentral is "partial contains 5.8S ribosomal RNA, internal transcribed spacer 2, and large subunit ribosomal RNA". The stretch from base 1 to 120 matches the Rfam family "5.8S ribosomal RNA", at positions 35 to 154 of the family's 154-position model. The record is from RNAcentral.